UACGUAGGUGGCAAGCGUUGUCCGGAUUUAUUGGGUUUAAAGGGUGCGUAGGCGGCCCUGUAUGUCAGUGCUGAAAUAUCCCGGCUUAACCGGGAGGGUGGCAUUGAUACUGCGGGGCUAGAGUACAGAUGAGGUAGGCGGAAUUGACGGUGUAGCGGUGAAAUGCUUAGAUAUCGUCAAGAACACCUAUAGCGAAGGCAGCUUACUAGGCUGUAACUGACGCUGAGGCACGAAAGUGUGGGGAUCAAACAGG
Molecule: ribosomal RNA, 253 nt
Filed under: uncultured bacterium
Lineage: Bacteria
Description: partial 16S ribosomal RNA
Rfam family: Bacterial small subunit ribosomal RNA
Source: RNAcentral